AUGUGUGUCCCUAGAAAAAGAGGUGGCAUGAGAUUCUGUGAUAUACAGAGUUUCAAUCUAGCUAUGCUUGCUAAGCAAUGUUGGAGACUUGUUGAAAAUUUUGACACUUUACGUGCCAGAGUGCUUUGUUCAAGAUACUAUCCAAGCGGUGAUCUACUUAAUUGCGAUCUGAAGAAAGGCUUGUCAUGUGUGUGGCAAAGUAUAUGGGGGAGGAGUACAAACUUUCAAAAAAGGACCUAUGCAUUUGGAAUGAUUGUUGGAUCCCAAACAGUCCAUUGA
RNAcentral lists this ribosomal RNA (279 nucleotides) under Triticum aestivum (bread wheat). RNAcentral's name for it is "partial small subunit ribosomal RNA". The record is from RNAcentral. Lineage: Eukaryota; Viridiplantae; Streptophyta; Magnoliopsida; Poales; Poaceae.